AUGCCGUCAUUCUCCUUCCUCGAGCUUUCGCUUUGCUUCCUCUGCUUCGUCUUGUUCUACUGCUUCCACGUCUGGUCCAAGCGCAAGAACCCGGCGCUCCCGCUGGACUGGCCGCUGCUGGGCAUGCUCCCGGCGCUCCUCGCCAACCUGCCACGCCUCCACGACUGGGUCACCUCCGUCCUCGCCGCCAGCACGCUCAGCUUCCGCCUCGCCGGCCCGCCGCGCUCGGGUAUGCAGCUCUUCUUCACGGCUGACCCGGCCAACAUCCGCCACGUCCUCACCUCCAACUUCCCCAACUACCCCAAGGGCCCCGAGUUCGCCCAGAUCAUGGACAUCCUCGGCGGCGGCAUCUUCAACGCCGACGGCGACUCCUGGCGCCGCCAGCGGGCCAAGGCGCAGCUGCUCAUCUCCGGGCCCCGGUUCCGGGCAUUCAUGUCCCGCUGCACCCGCCGCAAGGUCGAGCGCGACCUGCUCCCGCUGCUUGCCCGCGUCGCCGGAGCCGGCGCCGGUGAGUGCGACCUGCAGGACGUGUUCCUUAGGCUCACGUUUGACACCACCACCACGCUGGUCUUCGGCCUCGACCCCGGCUGCCUGGCUGUCGGCUUCCCCGAGGUGCCGUUCGCGCGCUCCAUCGACGACGCCAUGGACGUGCUCCUCGUCCGCAGCGUGCUCCCGCUGUUGUGGUGGAAGCUGGUGCGGCGGCUAGGGGUCGGGUAUGAGCGGAAGAUGACGGUGGCCUGGCGCGACAUCGACCGGUUCAUCGGCGACACGAUCGCCAAGCGGCGGGAGGCGGUGAAAGCCAGAGGCGGAAUGGAGGACUCGGCGGACCUGCUCUCCUCCUACAUCGACGACGACGAUGCCGGCGCGGUCGUCGACGCCUUCCUCCGCGACACGACCAUGAACCUCAUGCUCGCCGGCCGCGACACGACCGGCUCGGCGCUGACCUGGUUCUUCUACCUCCUCACCAGGAACCCGGGCGUGGUGUCCAAGAUCCUCGCAGAGCUCGACACCAUCAAGACCACCGCCACCACCACCCUGGACUGCAUGGUGACCUACGACCCGGACGAGCUUGGCCGGCUGGUGUACCUGCACGCGGCCCUGUGCGAGUCGCUCCGGCUGUACCCGCCGGUGCCGAUUGAGCACAAGGGCGUGGCCGCCGCCGAGGCGCUGCCGAGCGGGCACGAGGUGCGGCCAGGGGACAAGAUCCUUGUGUCGCUGUACGCGAUGGGGAGGAUGGAGGCCGUGUGGGGCAAGGACUGCCGGGAGUUCCGGCCGGAGCGGUGGAUCGGGGAGGACGGUAAGCUGCAGUACGUGCCGUCGUACAGGUUCGCCUCCUUCAACGCCGGGCCGCGGACCUGCCUGGGCAAGGACAUGGCGUUCGUGCAGCUCAAGACCGUGGCGGCCGCCGUGGUGAGGAACUUCGAGGUGGAGGCCGUGCCGGGGCACGUCGUGGAGCCCAAGAUCUCCAUCAUUCUCCACAUGAAGAACGGCUUCAAGGCCAGGAUUAAGAGGAGGCACGUGAUGAACAGCUGA
This 1533-nucleotide ribosomal RNA is filed under the name Triticum aestivum (bread wheat). RNAcentral's name for it is "partial small subunit ribosomal RNA". Lineage: Eukaryota; Viridiplantae; Streptophyta; Magnoliopsida; Poales; Poaceae. The record is from RNAcentral.